Molecule: ribosomal RNA, 329 nt
Filed under: uncultured eukaryote
Lineage: Eukaryota
Description: partial 18S ribosomal RNA
Rfam family: Eukaryotic small subunit ribosomal RNA
Source: RNAcentral
CCCUUAGAUGUUCGGGGCCGCACGCGCGCUACACUGAUGCAUUCAACGAGUCUAAAACCUGCUCUGAUAGGGGUGGGUAAUCUUUUGAAUGUGCAUCGUGAUUGGGAUAGAUGAUUGCAAUUUUUCAUCUUCAACGAGGAAUGCCUAGUAAACGCAAGUCAUCAGCUUGCAUUGAUUACGUCCCUGCCCUUUGUACACACCGCCCGUCGCUCCUACCGAUUGAAUGGUCCGGUGAAAUCUUCGGAUUGAGACUUUGAUUUCUUCACGGAAAACGCUGUUUUAAGAAGUUGAUUAAACCUUACCAUUUAGAGGAAGGUGAAGUCGUAACA